ACGAUCGCUGGCACAUUAUUAACACUCAAGUCGAGUGGUAACAGCCCUUCGGAUGCACCGAGUGGCGAACGGGUGAGUAAUGCAUCGGAACGUGCCCAGUAGUGGGGGAUAGCCCGGCGAAAGCCGGAUUAAUACCGCAUACGACCUGAGGGUGAAAGGGCAGGAUCGCAAGACCUCUCGCUAUUGCAGCGGCCGAUGUCAGAUACUUAGUUGGUGGGGUAAUGAGCCUACCAAGGCAACGAUCUGUAGUUGGUCUGAGAGGACGACCAGCCACACUGGGACUGAGACACGGCCCAGACUCCUACGGGAGGCAGCAGUGGGGAAUUUUGGACAAUGGGCGCAAGCCUGAUCCAGCAAUGACCGCGUGCAGGAAGAAGGCCUUCGGGUUGUAAACUGCUAGUGUCAGGGAAGACAAUCUUCUGGGUUAAUACCUCGGCGAGGAUGACGGUACUUGAAGAAUAAGCACCGGCUAACUACGUGCCACAAGCCGCGGUAAUACGUAGGGUGCGAGCGUUAAUCCUAUAUACUGGGCGUAAAGCGUGCGCAGGCGGCUUUGCAAGACAGAGGUGAAAUCGACGGGCUCAACCUGGGAACUGCCUUUGUGACUGCAAGGCUAGAGUACGGCAGAGGCUUGGAAUUCCGCGUGUAGCAGUGAAAUGCGUAGAUAUGCGGAGGAACACCAAUGGCGAAGGCAAUCCCCUGGGCCUGUACUGACGCUCAUGCACGAAAGCGUGGGGAGCAAACAGGAUUAGAUACCCUGGUAGUCCACGCCCUAAACGAUGUCAACUGGUUAGUUGGACGGCUUGCUGUUCAGUAACGAAGCUAACGCGUGUCGUUGACCGCCUGGCAGGAGUACGGCCGCAAGGUUGAAACUCACUCGAAUUGACGGGGACCCGCACAAGCGGUGGAUGAUGUACUUAAUUCGAUGCAACGCGAGCAACCUUACCUACCCUUGACAUGCUAGGUAAUCUUGCAGAGAUGUGAGAGUGCUCGUCGAGAACCUAGAACAGGUGCUGCAUCCCGUCGCCAGAUCGUGUCGUGAGAUGUUGCUUAAGUCCCGCAACGAGCGCAACCCUUGUCAUCAGUUGCUACGAAAGGGCACUCUGAUGAGACUGCCGGUGACAAACCGGAGGUGGGGAUGACGUCAGGUCCUCAUGGCCCUUAUGGGUAGGGCUACACACGUCAUACAAUGGCCGGUACAGAGGGCUGCCAACCCGCGAGGAGCCAAUCCCAGAAGAUGGUCGUAGUCCGGAUCGCAGUCUGCAACUCGACUGCGUUGAAGUCGGAAUCGCUAGUAAUCGCGGAUCAGCUUAGCCGCGGUGAAUACGUUCCCGGGUCUUGUGUUACCGCCCGUCACACCAUCGCGGAGCGGGUUCUGCCCAGAAAGUAGUUAGCGCUGAACCGCCUCAGAGCUG
RNAcentral lists this ribosomal RNA (1415 nucleotides) under uncultured Aquabacterium sp. Its description in RNAcentral is "bacterial SSU rRNA". It matches the Rfam family "Bacterial small subunit ribosomal RNA". The record is from RNAcentral. Lineage: Bacteria; Pseudomonadati; Pseudomonadota; Betaproteobacteria; Burkholderiales; Sphaerotilaceae.